CCUACGGGCGGCUGCAGUGGGGAAUAUUGGACAAUGGGGGGAACCCUGAUCCAGCCAUGCCGCGUGUGUGAAGAAGGCCCUCGGGUUGUAAAGCACUUUCAGUGAGGAAGAACGCCUGGUGGUUAAUACCCAUCAGGAAAGACAUCACUCACAGAAGAAGCACCGGCUAACUCCGUGCCAGCAGCCGCGGUAAUACGGAGGGUGCGAGCGUUAAUCGGAAUUACUGGGCGUAAAGCGCGCGUAGGUGGCUUGAUAAGCCGGUUGUGAAAGCCCCGGGCUCAACCUGGGAACGGCAUCCGGAACUGUCAAGCUAGAGUGCAGGAGAGGAAGGUAGAAUUCCCGGUGUAGCGGUGAAAUGCGUAGAGAUCGGGAGGAAUACCAGUGGCGAAGGCGGCCUUCUGGACUGACACUGACGCUGAGGUGCGAAAGCGUGGGUAGCAAACAGGAUUAGAUACCCUUGUAGUC
This 465-nucleotide ribosomal RNA is filed under the name Vreelandella stevensii. RNAcentral describes it as "partial 16S ribosomal RNA". It matches the Rfam family "Bacterial small subunit ribosomal RNA", at positions 338 to 795 of the family's 1533-position model. Lineage: Bacteria; Pseudomonadati; Pseudomonadota; Gammaproteobacteria; Oceanospirillales; Halomonadaceae. The record is from RNAcentral.